Molecule: ribosomal RNA, 497 nt
Filed under: uncultured bacterium
Lineage: Bacteria
Description: partial 16S ribosomal RNA
Rfam family: Bacterial small subunit ribosomal RNA
Source: RNAcentral
GAUGAACGCUGGCGGCGUGCCUAAUACAUGCAAGUCGAGCGAACGGACGAGAAGCUUGCUUCUCUGAUGUUAGCGGCGGACGGGUGAGUAACACGUGGAUAACCUACCUAUAAGACUGGGAUAACUUCGGGAAACCGGAGCUAAUACCGGAUAAUAUUUUGAACCGCAUGGUUCAAAAGUGAAAGACGGUCUUGCUGUCACUUAUAGAUGGAUCCGCGCUGCAUUAGCUAGUUGGUAAGGUAACGGCUUACCAAGGCAACGAUGCAUAGCCGACCUGAGAGGGUGAUCGGCCACACUGGAACGUAGACACGGUCCAGACUCCUACGGGAGGCAGCAGUAGGGAAUCUUCCGCAAAGGGCGAAAGCCUGACGGAGCAACGCCGCGUGAGUGAUGAAGGUCUUCGGAUCGUAAAACUCCGUUAUUAGGGAAGAACAUAUGUGUAAGUAACUGUGCACAUCUUGACGGUACCUAAUCAGAAAGCCACGGCUAACUACGUG